Molecule: RNA transcript, 1211 nt
Organism: Odobenus rosmarus divergens (Pacific walrus)
Lineage: Eukaryota; Metazoa; Chordata; Mammalia; Carnivora; Odobenidae
Gene name: eukaryotic translation initiation factor 3 subunit E-like
Exons: 1
Source: RefSeq, a predicted model, not a curated record
UUACUUGGCAAGAUGGCGGAGUACGACUUGACUACUCGCAUCACACACUUUUUGGAUCGGCAUCUAGUCUUUCCGUUGCUUGAGUUUCUCUCCGUAGAAGAGAUAUAUAAUGAAAAAGAAUUAUUACAAGGGAAAUUGGAUCUCCUUAGUGAUACCAACAUGGUAGACUUUGCUAUAGAUGUAUACAAAAACCUUUAUUCUGAUGAUAUGCCACAUGCUUUGAGAGAAAAAAGAACCACAGUUGUUGCACAACUGAAACAGCUUCAGGCAGAAACAGAACCAAUUGUGAAGAUGUUUGAAGAUCCAGAAACUACAAGGCAGAUGCAGUCAACCAGAGAUGGUUGGAUGCUGUUUGACUACCUGGCGGACAAGCAUGGUUUUAGGCAGGAAUAUUUAGAUACACUCUACAGGUAUGUGAAAUUUCAAUAUGAAUGUGGGAAUUACUCUGGAGCCGCAGAAUAUCUUUACUUCUUUAGAGUGUUGGUUCCAGCAACAGAUAAAAAUGCUUUGAGUUCACUCUGGGGAAAAUUGGCCUCUGAAAUCUUAAUGCAGAAUUGGGAUGCAGCUAUGGAAGACCUUACAUGGUUAAAAGAGAUCAUAGAUAAUAAUUCUGUGAGUUCUCCACUUCAGUCUCUUCAGCAGCGAACAUGGCUCAUCCAUUGGUCUCUGUUCAUUUUCUUCAGCCACUCCAAAGGGCGUGAUAACAUAAUUGAUCUCUUCCUUUACCAGCCACAGUAUCUUAAUGCAAUUCAGACAAUGUAUCCACAUAUUCUGCGCUAUUUGACUACAGCCGUCAUAACAGAGAUGUUCAGAAACGCCGACAGGUGCUAAAAGAUCUUGUUGAAAUUAUUCAACAGGAGUUUUACACAUAUAAAGACCCAAUUACAGAAUUUGUUGAAUGCUUAUAUGUUAACUCUGACUUUGAUGGGGCUCAGAAAAAGCUGAGGGACUGUGAAUCAGUACUUGUGAAUGACUUCUUCUUGGUGGCUUGUCUUGAGGAUUUCAUUGAAAACGCUCGUCUCUUCAUAAAUGAGACUUUUUGUCGCAUCCACCUGUGUAUUAGCAUUAACAUGUUGGCAGACAAACUGAACAUGACUCCAGAAGAAGCUGAAAGGUGGAUUGUAAAUUUGAUUAGAAAUGCAAGGCUGGAUGCCAAGAUUGAUUCCAAAUUAGCUCCUAACUGGGCAACUCAGGACUCUGGCUUCUACUGA